Molecule: ribosomal RNA, 254 nt
Filed under: uncultured Lamproderma sp.
Lineage: Eukaryota; Evosea; Eumycetozoa; Stemonitida
Description: partial 18S ribosomal RNA
Rfam family: Eukaryotic small subunit ribosomal RNA
Source: RNAcentral
AUGCUUCUCCUAAAGACUAAGCCAUGCAUGCUCUGAAUAUGAGGAAGCAAUUCUCUCUGAAUCUGCGAACGGCUCCGCAAACCAGUUGUAAACCAAAGCAAGCUUGCUCGGGUUGGGCUUCGGCCUGGCCUGGGUGAUACGGAUAACCCUGGUAAUUCUAAGGCUAAUACGUGUAUGGAACACCCGGUGGACCGGCCUUGUGCUGGGAAACCGGGAGGCGAGGGAUUGAAUGUUUGGAUUACCAGGAACGGGCG